This 250-nucleotide ribosomal RNA is filed under the name uncultured bacterium. Its description in RNAcentral is "partial 16S ribosomal RNA". It matches the Rfam family "Bacterial small subunit ribosomal RNA", at positions 524 to 773 of the family's 1533-position model. The record is from RNAcentral.
GACGGAGGGUGCAAACGUUGUUCGGAAUCACUGGGCAUAAAGCGCACGUAGGCGGUCUGGUCAGUCAGGUGUGAAAGCCCUCGGCUCAACCGAGGAAUCGCACUUGAUACUGCCAGACUGGAGAGAGGUAGGGGUAAGCGGAACUCCAGGUGGAGCGGUGAAAUGCGUAGAUAUCUGGAGGAACACCGGUGGCGAAAGCGGCUUACUGGACCUCUUCUGACGCUGAGGUGCGAAAGCUAGGGUAGCGAAC